GGAGGGGCAAUACCGAAUAUUGUCCGGAGCCGUGAAGGGUUCCGGGGAAAGGGAGGCCUCUGAUACAAGCUUUCGCCUUAAGAUGAGCCCAUGGCCCAUCAGCUAGUUGGUAGGGUAAAGGCCUACCAAGGCUACGACGGGUCGCUGGUCUGAGAGGACGACCAGCCACACUGGCACUGAGAUACGGGCCAGACUCCUACGGGAGGCAGCAGUGAGGAAUAUUGCGCAAUGGGGGAAACCCUGACGCAGCAACGCCGCGUGUGGGAAGAAGGCCCUUCGGGUCGUAAACCACUUUUUGCACGGGACGAAAAAGGGAUAUCGAACAAAUAUCCCCGAUGACGGUACCGUGAGAAUAAGCCACGGCUAACUCUGUGCCAGCAGCCGCGGUAAGACAGAGGUGGCAGCGUUGUCGGAAUUACUGGGCGUAAAGAGUCUGUAGGUGGUUUGUC
This 449-nucleotide ribosomal RNA is filed under the name uncultured bacterium. RNAcentral's name for it is "bacterial SSU rRNA". It matches the Rfam family "Bacterial small subunit ribosomal RNA", at positions 157 to 584 of the family's 1533-position model. The record is from RNAcentral.